UCAAUAAUGCACAGCAUGGUUCAACAAAGCCCAGUACUUCAGCUUCACGGACCCAAAGUCUAAUUUUCUGAAAUGUUAGGACCUGAAUGGAUGAACUAUUCCUGAAGCACUUAAAACAUAAUGAUGUGAUGUGUCAUUCUGAGAUUCGAGAGCCAUCUGAAUGAUCAGUAGCAGUGGCUGCUUUGGGUUGUGGGCACUGAAUUUCUAGAAUGUUUGUGCAUGUAGAUCCUCAUCUUAUUAAUACGUAACUUCCUUAACCGACACCCUUAUAAUAUGGAAAUGUACGUAAUUUUCAUUUCCAUAUAGUUUCCAUUUUUAUAAAUCAUGGUAUGUGCUGGUUAGAUAAUUUGAAUAAUGUACUGCAGGACUAUACCCUUUGUGGGACUUAAACCUGUAACGUGCUACCAGUAGGUUUUUUGUUCAUUUCUCUUUUGUCUCUUGAGCAACUGAAGAGGCAACCAAAUACAUUCCCUGCUAGAGACAACACUUCCAUGCCAGAGUGAAGUAGAGGAUGCCCAGCCUCUUAUAAAUGUACAGUAUUACAGCAAUAUCAAACUUAUAAAUCUAAAAACAUGUUCCAUAGUGAACCUCACACAUCGUGAUAAGCCAAACUGAUAUUCGUGUUCCAUGAAUCGCCUCUCAAAGUGAGCGGAAGGCCUCCAUUUUGAAAACUGCACAGUACAAUACGUGGUAUGGAAGUCACUCAUCUUGAACAAUGUUACUGUAUCCAUACAGUUGUUGUUAUAUAAUGUAUCUGCAGUUCUACAGAGACAUGAACAAUGCGGGGAUGUGUCAGCCUCUGGUCACAGUGGGGAUUUGCUUUCUUUUGUUGCUCUUCACAGGUCUAUUGUAGGCUUUAAAACCCACCACCGGUGUUCGUCGGUUGGGAGGGGUGGUAGGAGCAGGCAUUCGUCGAGUGGAAGUUCUUUUCUCACUCUUCACAGAUUCUGAAAACCGGAAGAGAGUAUUGGAUUUGUUUCAUGCGUUUUCACAUGUGCUAAAUGGUGCUCCCGCAUUCUGCAGAAUUCCAUGGCAGGGAGUGUAAUCGCUAGUCCAGUGGAACUGAAGGCGCACCCCCUUCUUAGUGGAGCAGAGCAGCAUUUCUGCGCUGUGUACUUUGGGUACCGUUCCAGCUUAGUUUUUAUUCAGUUGAGCUGCAGAACAUACAUUUUCAUGUGUACCAUGCAUGAAGCCAGCUGUGCUCGCUAUGGCGUACUCGUGUAAACAUGCAUUCUAAUGCCUUCCUUUCUCCCAGUUCCCUCUGUAGCACAUGUGUGCCACGUGUCAAAACCUCGCCUUGGUUCAUAAGUUUCCACUGACAGUCACAUGGGUUUAUUUUUUUCCUCAUGCUGUCUGACUCGUGAGCGAGGACUGAAUGGUCCUGUGGAGGGGAGAUUGGGAUGAAGAGGUUUGCAGUACUGUGAGCAGAGAAAGGAACUUAGAGACUUAUCUUCAAGAACACGGUCAUUCUCACUUGAGCCACCCCCUAGAGAUGGAUCACCUCAUUUUCCUGCAGAAGCUAUUUGAAGCUGGAAACAGGUUGCAAAGCCAGGCUCCAGGACUCCACCAAACUACAGUGAGAGCCAUUAUCUUGAAACGGAAAACACUUGAAACAGUGGGGAAUCUUCCCAAAAGUGCCAUAAAGUGCCAGUGCCUGCCAGAAUUUCUCCAAGGGUGCAGCGACAACUCAUCCAGGAAGUCACAAAAGAUCCCACUGAACAACAUCCAAAGAACUGCAGGCCUCUCUAGCCUCAGAUAAGGGGCUCAUGACAGACAUCCAGAUCUAUGGUGCCAUAAUGUAGAGGACUCUAAGGUGACAUCAUCAUUUGCUCAACUGCCACAGGAAAUGUUAGUGGCAACAGGACAGACUUCAUCCACAGAGCACAAGAAUGAACAAUCAGUUGCAUGGAGACUAUGUGGACACCUGUUGUUUACAGGGAAAAGAUGCAUUAAUUAUGUAUUACUUGGAAGUGAAAGAAAUACGCUAAAUUUGAUCAGUG
Long non-coding RNA from Anguilla rostrata (American eel), 2000 nucleotides. RefSeq lists it as uncharacterized. The transcript is spliced from 4 exons. Lineage: Eukaryota; Metazoa; Chordata; Actinopteri; Anguilliformes; Anguillidae. The record is from RefSeq and is a predicted model, not a curated record.